ACACAUGCAAGUCGAGCGGAUGACGGGAGCUUGCUCCUUGAUUCAGCGGCGGACGGGUGAGUAAUGCCUAGGAAUCUGCCUGGUAGUGGGGGACAACGUUUCGAAAGGAACGCUAAUACCGCAUACGUCCUACGGGAGAAAGCAGGGGACCUUCGGGCCUUGCGCUAUCAGAUGAGCCUAGGUCGGAUUAGCUAGUUGGUGGGGUAAUGGCUCACCAAGGCGACGAUCCGUAACUGGUCUGAGAGGGUGAUCAGUCACACUGGAACUGAGACACGGUCCAGACUCCUACGGGAGGCAGCAGUGGGGAAUAUUGGACAAUGGGCGAAAGCCUGAUCCAGCCAUGCCGCGUGUGUGAAGAAGGUCUUCGGAUUGUAAAGCACUUUAAGUUGGGAG
This 393-nucleotide ribosomal RNA is filed under the name uncultured Pseudomonas sp. Its description in RNAcentral is "bacterial SSU rRNA". It matches the Rfam family "Bacterial small subunit ribosomal RNA", at positions 51 to 446 of the family's 1533-position model. Lineage: Bacteria; Pseudomonadati; Pseudomonadota; Gammaproteobacteria; Pseudomonadales; Pseudomonadaceae. The record is from RNAcentral.